UGGGGAAUUUUCCGCAAUGGGCGAAAGCCUGACGGAGCAAUACCGCGUGAGGGAGGAAGGCUUUUGGGUUGUAAACCUCUUUUUUCAAGGAAGAAGAAAGUGACGGUACUUGAAGAAUCAGCAUCGGCUAACUCCGUGCCAGCAGCCGCGGUAAUACGGAGGAUGCAAGCGUUAUCCGGGAUCAUUGGGCGUAAAGCGUCCGCAGGUGGCUUAUCAAGUCUGCUGUCAAAGACUAGAGCUCAACUCUGGGCAGGCGGUGGAAACUGGUAGGCUAGAGUACGGUAGGGGUUGAGGGAAUUCCCAGUGUAGCGGUGAAAUGCGUAGAUAUUGGGAAGAACACCAGUGGCGAAGGCGCUCAACUGGGCCGUAACUGACACUCAGGGACGAAAGCUAGGGUAGCGAAAGGGAUUAGAUACCCCUGU
RNAcentral lists this ribosomal RNA (422 nucleotides) under uncultured cyanobacterium. RNAcentral describes it as "bacterial SSU rRNA". It matches the Rfam family "Bacterial small subunit ribosomal RNA", at positions 355 to 791 of the family's 1533-position model. Lineage: Bacteria; Bacillati; Cyanobacteriota. The record is from RNAcentral.